RNAcentral lists this ribosomal RNA (513 nucleotides) under Porpoloma sp. DUKE-PR3995. RNAcentral describes it as "mitochondrial SSU rRNA". It matches the Rfam family "Bacterial small subunit ribosomal RNA", at positions 401 to 919 of the family's 1533-position model. Lineage: Eukaryota; Fungi; Basidiomycota; Agaricomycetes; Agaricales; Tricholomataceae. The record is from RNAcentral.
GAAAUCAUAUGAAUCAUUUUAGUGAGGAAUGUGAUAACGUAAGGGAUAAAUAUGAUAUUACCUUACUAUUAGUGUUGUCCAAAACUGGUGCCAGAAGACUCGGUAAGGCCAGAGACGCAAACGUUAGUCAUCUUUAUCAGGCGUAAAGGGUCUGUAGGCUGCUUUAAAAGUUUAAACCUUUAUAAUAGCUCUUUUACUUAGGUCUCAGGUAAAGAAAAAUGAAUUAAAGCUAGAAUCAUAUGGGGGAUAAACCAAAUAAUGCUUAGAGUAGGGAUUAAAUCCAAAGAUACUAAGUGGAAUACUAAAGGUGAAAGCUAUUUUAUCUAUUAAUGAUUGACGCUGAGAAACGAAGGUGAGAAUAGGAAAAAGGAUUAGAUACCCAAAUACCUCUCACAGUCAACGAUGAAUGGUGGUUGUUAGUUUUAAAUAUAAACUGGUAACGAUGUUAACACGAUAACCAUUCCGCCUUGCGAGUACGGUUGCAAAACUGAAACCAAAAAAAUUAGUCGGUCU